Molecule: unclassified non-coding RNA, 336 nt
Filed under: soil metagenome
Description: partial contains 5.8S ribosomal RNA, internal transcribed spacer 2, and large subunit ribosomal RNA
Rfam family: 5.8S ribosomal RNA (bases 1-120)
Source: RNAcentral
GAUGAAGAACGCAACGAAAUGCGAUAAGUAAUGUGAAUUGCAGAAUUCAGUGAAUCAACGAAUCUUUGAACGCACAUUGCGCCCGCCAGUAUUCUGGCGGGCAUGCCUGUUCGAGCGUCAUUUCAACCAUCAAGCCCCAGGCUUGUGUUGGGGACCUGCGGCUGCCGCAGGCCCUGAAAACCAGUGGCGGGCUCGCUGUCACACCGGGCGUAGUAGAUUUUAUCUCGCUCAGGGCGUGCUGCGGGUUCCGGCCGUUAAAAAGCCUUUUUUACCCAAGGUUGACCUCGGAUCAGGUAGGAAUACCCGCUGAACUUAAGCAUAUCAAUAAGCGGAGGA